GUAACCGUAGGGGAACCUGCGGUUGGAUCACCUCCUUACCUUAAAGAACCUGCCUUUGUAGUGCUCACACAGAUUGUUUGAUAAAU
Molecule: ribosomal RNA, 86 nt
Filed under: Klebsiella pneumoniae
Lineage: Bacteria; Pseudomonadati; Pseudomonadota; Gammaproteobacteria; Enterobacterales; Enterobacteriaceae
Description: partial 16S ribosomal RNA
Source: RNAcentral